CUACGGAGGGUCCAAGCGUUAUCCGGAAUUAUUGGGUUUAAAGGGUCCGUAGGCGGGCCAUUAAGUCAGGGGUGAAAGUCUGCGGCUCAACCGUAGAAUUGCGUUUGAUACUGAUGGUCUUGAGUUAUAGUGAAGUUGGCGGAAUAUGUAGUGUAGCGGUGAAAUGCAUAGAUAUUACAUAGAACACCGAUUGCGAAGGCAGCUGACUAACUAUAUACUGACGCUGAGGGACGAAAGCGUGGGGAGCGAACAGGAUUAGAAACCCUAGUAGUCC
This 274-nucleotide ribosomal RNA is filed under the name uncultured bacterium. RNAcentral's name for it is "partial 16S ribosomal RNA". It matches the Rfam family "Bacterial small subunit ribosomal RNA", at positions 523 to 796 of the family's 1533-position model. The record is from RNAcentral.